RNAcentral lists this ribosomal RNA (460 nucleotides) under uncultured bacterium. RNAcentral describes it as "partial 16S ribosomal RNA". It matches the Rfam family "Bacterial small subunit ribosomal RNA", at positions 338 to 795 of the family's 1533-position model. The record is from RNAcentral.
CCUACGGGAGGCAGCAGUGAGGAAUAUUGGUCAAUGGACGAGAGUCUGAACCAGCCAAGCAGCGUGAAGGAUGACUGUCCUAUGGGUUGUAAACUUCUUUUAUAAAGGAAUAAAACGAGGCACGUGUGCCUGUUUGCAUGUACUUUAUGAAUAAGGAUCGGCUAACUCCGUGCCAGCAGCCGCGGUAAUACGGAGGAUCCGAGCGUUAUCCGGAUUUAUUGGGUUUAAAGGGAGCGUAGAUGGGUUGUUAAGUCAGUUGUGAAAGUUUGCGGCUCAACCGUAAAAGUGCAAUUGAUACUGGCAGUCUUGAGUACAGUUGAGGUAGGCGGAAUUCGUGGUGUAGCGGUGAAAUGCUUAGAUAUCGCGAAGAACCCCGAUUGCGAAGGCAGCUUACUAAACUGUGACUGACAUUGAUGCGCGAAAGUGUGGGUAUCAAACAGGAUUAGAUACCCUUGUAGUC